GACGAACCGUCCAAACGUUAUUCGGAAUCACUGGGCUUAAAGGGUGCGUAGGCGGCUCUGCAAGUUGGGUGUGAAAGCCCUCGGCUCAACCGAGGAAUUGCGCCCAAAACUGCUGGGCUUGAGGGAGACAGAGGUGAGCGGAACUUAGGGUGGAGCGGUGAAAUGCGUUGAGAUCCUAAGGAACACCAGUAGCGAAAGCGGCUCACUGGGUCUCUUCUGACGCUGAGGCACGAAAGCUAGGGGAGCGAAGAGGAUUAGAUACCCUCGUAGUCCUAGCCGUAAACGAUGAGCACUGAUUUGGAGGCUCCUCCAUAGGCUUCCAGAUGUAGCGAAAGUGUUAAGUGCUCCGCCUGGGGAGUAUGGUCGCAAGGCUGAA
This 376-nucleotide ribosomal RNA is filed under the name uncultured bacterium. Its description in RNAcentral is "bacterial SSU rRNA". It matches the Rfam family "Bacterial small subunit ribosomal RNA", at positions 524 to 898 of the family's 1533-position model. The record is from RNAcentral.